UGUAGCUCAGUGGUAGAGCACAUGACUCAUAAUACCCAUGAGCCCUGGGUUUAAUCCCUAGCA
RNAcentral lists this transfer RNA (63 nucleotides) under Heterocephalus glaber (naked mole-rat). It matches the Rfam family "tRNA", at positions 6 to 65 of the family's 71-position model. Rfam says of the family: Transfer RNA (tRNA) molecules are approximately 80 nucleotides in length. Their secondary structure includes four short double-helical elements and three loops (D, anti-codon, and T loops). Further hydrogen bonds mediate the characteristic L-shaped molecular structure. tRNAs have two regions of fundamental functional importance: the anti-codon, which is responsible for specific mRNA codon recognition, and the 3' end, to which the tRNAs corresponding amino acid is attached (by aminoacyl-tRNA synthetases). tRNAs cope with the degeneracy of the genetic code in two manners: having more than one tRNA (with a specific anti-codon) for a particular amino acid; and 'wobble' base-pairing, i.e. permitting non-standard base-pairing at the 3rd anti-codon position. The record is from Rfam by way of RNAcentral. Lineage: Eukaryota; Metazoa; Chordata; Mammalia; Rodentia; Bathyergidae.